GGACGUGUGCCUGAAUUGACCUAAGGAUUACUUUGAUAGAGUAGACAAUAGAGGUUAAAAUCCUCUCACUUCC
This 73-nucleotide transfer RNA is filed under the name Sceloporus siniferus. Its description in RNAcentral is "tRNA-Ile". It matches the Rfam family "tRNA". From Rfam's summary of the family: Transfer RNA (tRNA) molecules are approximately 80 nucleotides in length. Their secondary structure includes four short double-helical elements and three loops (D, anti-codon, and T loops). Further hydrogen bonds mediate the characteristic L-shaped molecular structure. tRNAs have two regions of fundamental functional importance: the anti-codon, which is responsible for specific mRNA codon recognition, and the 3' end, to which the tRNAs corresponding amino acid is attached (by aminoacyl-tRNA synthetases). tRNAs cope with the degeneracy of the genetic code in two manners: having more than one tRNA (with a specific anti-codon) for a particular amino acid; and 'wobble' base-pairing, i.e. permitting non-standard base-pairing at the 3rd anti-codon position. Lineage: Eukaryota; Metazoa; Chordata; Lepidosauria; Squamata; Phrynosomatidae. The record is from RNAcentral.